CGGUAAUUCCAGCUCCAAUAGCGUAUACUAAAGUUGUUGCAGUUAAAAAGCUCGUAGUUGGAUUUCUGCGGGGACGGAGCGGCCGGACGCAACUUGCGUCUCGAGCUAGCGCUUUCCCCACAUCCUGCCGCGAACCGUGCUACCAUUAGUUUGGUGGCGCUGGGGAUCGGCUCGAUUACUUUGAGAAAAAUAGAGUGUUCAAAGCAGGCCACAUGCCUUGAAUAAGUUAGCAUGGAAUAAUGACUAAGGACUUUGGUUCUUUUCGUUGGUGUUCGGGACUGAAGUAAUGAUUGAUAGGGACAGUUGGGGCGGUCCGUAUUCCAAAGCGAGAGGUGAAAUUCUUAGACCUUCGGAAGACGAACAGCUGCGAAAGCGUUCCGCAAGGAUGUUCCCUUUGAUCAAGAACGAAAGUUGGGGGAUCGAAGACGAUCAGAUACCGUCGUAGUCUCAACUAUAAACUAUACCAGCUAGGGAUCGGUCAACGUUUAAUCAUUCGACUUGAUCGGCACCUUAUGAGAAAUCAAAGCAUCUGGGUUCCGGGGGGAGUAUGGUCGCAAGGCUGAAACUUAAAGGAAUUGACGGAAGGGCACCACCAGCCGUGGAGCCUGUGGCUUAAUUUGACUCAACACGGGAAAACUUACCAGGUCCAGACAUAGUAAGGAUUGACAGAUUGAUAGCUCUUUCUUGAUUCUGUGGGUGGUGGUGCAUGGCCGUUCUUAGUUGGUGGAGUGAUUUGUCUGGUUAAUUCCGUUAACGAACGAGACCCCAGCCUGCUAAAUAGCGCGGUUGAGCUUUGCUCGAUGUGAGCUUCUUAGAGGGACUAUGAUGCGCGAUAGCACAUGGAAGUUUGGGGCAAUAACAGGUCUGUGAUGCCCUUAGAUGUUCUGGGCCGCACACGGGCUACACUGGCGCCUGCAACGAGCAUAUCAGCUGGCCCGAGAGGGUCUUGGCUAAUCUUUUGAACCGGCGCCGUGCUUGGGAUUGACCAUUGCAAUUGUUGGUCAUGCAACGAGGAAUGCCUUGUAAACGCGAGUCAUCAGCUCGCAUUGAAUACGUCCCUGCCCUUUGUACACACCGCCCGUCGCUCCUACCGAUGAAUGUUCCGAUGAAAUUUUCGGAGAGCGCCAGAGAACGGGGCUCUGCCUUGCAGAUCUGGAGGCUCAAAGUCACUUAAAUCUGAACAUUUCGAGGAAGGAGAAGUCGUAACAAGGUAACC
RNAcentral lists this ribosomal RNA (1216 nucleotides) under uncultured Rhizaria. Its description in RNAcentral is "SSU rRNA". It matches the Rfam family "Eukaryotic small subunit ribosomal RNA", at positions 577 to 1804 of the family's 1831-position model. The record is from RNAcentral.